UGGGGAAUUUUGGACAAUGGGGGAAACCCUGAUCCAGCCAUCCCGCGUGUGCGAUGAAGGCCUUCGGGUUGUAAAGCACUUUUGGCAGGAAAGAAACGUCAUGGGUUAAUACCCCGUGAAACUGACGGUACCUGCAGAAUAAGCACCGGCUAACUACGUGCCAGCAGCCGCGGUAAUACGUAGGGUGCAAGCGUUAAUCGGAAUUACUGGGCGUAAAGCGUGCGCAGGCGGUACGGAAAGAAAGAUGUGAAAUCCCAGAGCUUAACUUUGGAACUGCAUUUUUAACUACCGGGCUAGAGUGUGUCAGAGGGAGGUGGAAUUCCGCGUGUAGCAGUGAAAUGCGUAGAUAUGGGGAGGAACACCGAUGGCGAAGGCAGCCUCCUGGGAUAACACUGACGCUCAUGCACGAAAGCGUGGGGAGCAAACAGG
Molecule: ribosomal RNA, 429 nt
Filed under: Acidobacteriota bacterium
Lineage: Bacteria; Pseudomonadati; Acidobacteriota
Description: Acidobacteria bacterium partial 16S ribosomal RNA
Rfam family: Bacterial small subunit ribosomal RNA
Source: RNAcentral